UAUGAUUUGACUACUAACAACACAGGAAAAAGCUAGAAGAAUAAAUAACGGAGACAUAUUUUUUGCAAACUCCUCGUACAGUGUCAGAUAGGAGUAUUGUGGGAUCGCUCAUGUGAUGUUGAAACAGAAGCCAUAAACAUCAUGUUUUACCUCACUUAUUUACUCAUCACGAAAACCAACCUGCCUCCAAUAUAUAAGGCCGAAGCCUUCGCAAAAGUGACUAGCUUGUUGGCAGAAGAUCCCGUUUUCCCUUCUGCAAAAAUAGAAGCUGCAACUAAACAGAAAAAUACACUUGAAUGGAUGAUGACAUCUUGACCACGCUGACCUGUUCCUGAUGUUUUAAUUUCUGUACAUGUAUGUAAUGUAAAAAAUGACUAUAUUACAAUUGUAAAAUGUUGAUUGUAAAACAGUGGUUCACCAUAAUCUCAGUCUCCGAUUAUUUGAAAUAAUACAAUUUCUUUUUUCUAUUUGAUCUCACUUUUCUGUUAUGCCCGUGCCCUUAGUUAUAGAUAAAAAUACUCAAUUCCUGCGCAUCCGCAGGACCGCAUCGUAAUGCACAGUUUUUCUGUGACACAGAUGUCCGGGAUCCAUAGCGAAAGUCAGAUACUGACGGGCAUGAACAGGAGAUUAUCAGGUCAUUCUGCAAACAUGCGGAGAACUGACGCAUGCGCAGUACAUG
Long non-coding RNA from Hyla sarda, 679 nucleotides. RefSeq lists it as uncharacterized. The transcript has 3 exons. Lineage: Eukaryota; Metazoa; Chordata; Amphibia; Anura; Hylidae. The record is from RefSeq and is a predicted model, not a curated record.